AUUCUUGUAAAGAAGAGAAGGGAAAAAUCAUUAAAAUGAAAAGGAUUGUGACUUCCAUUGCACUCCGGAGGGGCGCACGCCUAAGGUCUACCUAACAGGUGGACCCUACGUCAUACUUUGUGGUAGUGGGGGCCUGCGUUCGCGCGGCCCCUAC
Neltuma alba is the source of this 154-nucleotide small nuclear RNA. RefSeq annotates it as U1 spliceosomal RNA. The transcript has a single exon. The record is from RefSeq and is a predicted model, not a curated record. Lineage: Eukaryota; Viridiplantae; Streptophyta; Magnoliopsida; Fabales; Fabaceae.